CACGUCAGUGGACAAACAUUGCAGUGAUGCAGGGAAUGAGACCCUGGGGAGGGAAAGAGAGAGAGUCUAAAAGAGGAAUAGGCUUUAUGACGCUCGCUACUGAAAAGAGAACAAACUGAUCCUGCCAACAAACAUCCUUUGAUGGAGCUGAACUCAAUUGAAUUGAGUCAAAUCUAAUUCCACUGAACUGAAAGCAGGCAGAGAAAGAAAGCCAGAGAGAGAUAUGGAUGGAGGGUGAAAGGAAGAGAGGACCGGGGAAGCGGAUUAGAGUCUCCAGAGAUGUGGCAGUCGUCUGAACAGGUGUUUGUCGAGGGAGAGAGAGAGACACUGGAGUAAACUGAACUGCAGCGGCAGGUUCUCUGUAGGGACAGGCCACACACACACAUACACACACCCUUCAUCCCUGCUAUCCCUGAUAGCGCCUGCCAGUCAGAAGUCGUUCAACGGAGAGGAAGUUCCUAGGAUGCCACUGCCAGAAAAUGCAAGUGUCUGCUAAAGAGAUGGAAGUUACAUCAAAAGCUGAGGAACGAUCCCCCUGGAGUAAAAGGUGAUG
Ctenopharyngodon idella (grass carp) is the source of this 553-nucleotide long non-coding RNA. RefSeq lists it as uncharacterized. NCBI's taxonomy places the organism in Eukaryota, Metazoa, Chordata, Actinopteri, Cypriniformes, Xenocyprididae. The record is from RefSeq and is a predicted model, not a curated record. The transcript is spliced from 3 exons.